UAGGGAAUCUUCCACAAUGGACGCAAGUCUGAUGGAGCAACGCCGCGUGAGUGAAGAAGGUCUUCGGAUCGUAAAGCUCUGUUGUUGGUGAAGAAGGAUAGAGGCAGUAACUGGUCUUUAUUUGACGGUAAUCAACCAGAAAGUCACGGCUAACUACGUGCCAGCAGCCGCGGUAAUACGUAGGUGGCAAGCGUUGUCCGGAUUUAUUGGGCGUAAAGCGAGCGCAGGCGGAAUGAUAAGUCUGAUGUGAAAGCCCACGGCUCAACCGUGGAACUGCAUCGGAAACUGUCAUUCUUGAGUGCAGAAGAGGAGAGUGGAACUCCAUGUGUAGCGGUGGAAUGCGUAGAUAUAUGGAAGAACACCAGUGGCGAAGGCGGCUCUCUGGUCUGCAACUGACGCUGAGGCUCGAAAGCAUGGGUAGCGAACAGGAUUAGAUACCCUGGUAGUCCAUGCCGUAAACGAUGAGCGCUAGGUGUUGGGGACUUUCCGGUUCUCAGUGCCGCAGCAAACGCAUUAAGCGCUCCGCCUGGGGAGUACGACCGCAAGGUUGAAACG
This 555-nucleotide ribosomal RNA is filed under the name uncultured bacterium. RNAcentral describes it as "partial 16S ribosomal RNA". It matches the Rfam family "Bacterial small subunit ribosomal RNA", at positions 355 to 901 of the family's 1533-position model. The record is from RNAcentral.